This 1733-nucleotide long non-coding RNA is filed under the name Triticum aestivum (bread wheat). Its description in RNAcentral is "long non-coding RNA (TAES_LNC017917)". Lineage: Eukaryota; Viridiplantae; Streptophyta; Magnoliopsida; Poales; Poaceae. The record is from RNAcentral.
UGUAUUUCUUCUCGGUAAUCCGGUAACGUCGCGUUUGUGAGGAUUCGUUCAACUACGUCCAUUUGUCUUCUUCAUGGACUCGUUCUUCUUCCUUGCGGGAUUUCAGGCAAGAUGAUCAUACCCUCGAAAUCACUUCUAUCUUUGCUUGCUAGUUGCUUGCUCUUUUGCUAUGCCUAUGAUGCGAUACCUACCACUUGCUUAUCAUGCCUCCCAUAUUGUUGAGCCAAGCCUCUAACCCACCUUGCCCUAGCAAACCGUUGUUUGGCUAUGUUACCGCUUUGCUCAGCCCCUCUUAUAGCGUUGUUAGUUGCAGGUGAAGUUUGAAGUUUGUUCCUUGUUGGAACAUGGAGAUGGUGUUCCUUGUUGGAACAUGUUUACUUGUUGGGAUAUCACAAUAUAUCUUAUUUAAUUAAUGCUUCUAUACACUUGGUAAAGGGUGGAAGGCUCGGCCUUAUGCCUGGUGUUUUGUUCCACUCUUGCCGCCCUAGUUUCCGUCAUAUCGGUGUUAUGUUCCCGGAUUUUGUAUUCCUUACGCGGUUGGGUAAUAAUGGGAACCCCUUGACAAAUCGCCUUGAAUAAAACUCUUCCAGCAAUGCCCAACCUUGGUUUUACCAUUCGCCACCUAGCCUCUUUUUCCCUUGGGUUCCGCAGACUCAAGGGUCAUCUUUAUUUAAACCCCCCUGGGCCAGUGCUCCUCUGAGUGUUGGUCCAAACUAGAGCCUUGUGCAGCGCCCCCUCGGGGAAACUCGAGGUUUGGUUUUAGUUGUACGGAUUGCUCAUCUGAGUGUGCCCUGAGAACGAGAUAUGUGCAGCUCCUAUCGGGAUUUGUCAGCACAUUCGGGCGGUGUUGCUGGAUUUGUUUUAACUUGUCGAAGUUGUCUUGUAGAACCGGGAUGCCGAGUCUGAUUGGAACGUCUCGGGAGAAGGUAUAUCCUUCGUUGACCGUGAGAGCUUGUGAUGGGCUAAGUUGGGACUCCCCUGCAGGGAUUUGAACUUUCAAAAGUCGUGCCCGCGGUUAUGGGCAGAUGGGAAUUUGUUAAUAUCUGGUUGUAGAAAACCUGAAGUUGACCUUAAUUAAAAUACAUCAACCGCGUGUGUUACCGUGAUGGUCUCUUCUCGGCGGGGUCCGGGACGUGAACACGGUGUUGGAGUUAUGUUUGACGUAGGUUGUUAUAGGAUCACUUCUUGAUCAUAUUUUCUCGAACGUGCUUUGCCUUCUCUUCUCGCUCUCAUUUGCGCAAGGUAGCCACCAUAUAUGCUAGUCGCUUGCUGCAGCUCCACCUCAUACCUUUACCUUACCCAUAAGUUUAAAUAGUCUUGAUCGCGAGAGUGUGAGAUUGCUGAGUCCCCGUGACUCACAGAUACUUCCAAAACCAGUUUGCAGGUGCCGAUGUUACCGAGCAGGAGACGCAACCAAGCUCAAGGAGGAGCUUGAUGAAGAUCUUGUCCUUUGUGUUGUUUCGUUCUAGUUGAUCAGUAGUGGAGCCCAGUCGGGACGGUCGGGGAUCUGUGUAGCAUUUGGGAUAGUCUUCUUUUAUUUUGGUUCCGUAGUCGGACUUGAUUGUAUCUGGUUGAUGUAAUGCUUUAAUUCAUGUAUUGUGUGAAGUGGCGAUUGUAAGCCAACUAUGUAUCUCUUUCCCUUAUGUAUUACAUGGGAUGUGUGAAGAUUACCUCACUUGCGACAUUGCUUUUAAUGCGGUUAUGCCUCUAAGUCGUGCUUCGACACGUGGGAG